CUAGCUGUUACAGUUGCAUAUUAACUGUUCAUGAUUAUGUAUAGUGAAUGUGUGUUAGGUAAGGUAGUUGUUGCUAUUAACUGUGUAAUAGCCGUGUGCUAUAACCUUGUAUUAUCAGCUAUGGAGUGUGGGGGAGAAUCCUGUGUUAGAAGACUCCUUCUGACUCUAGUGUCUGCUUGCUAUGGGGAUCCACUGGCUACCUUGACUACCCCAUGAACAAACCAUCAGAUUUCCAGCAUCUCCCUGUGGAAGAACACUGGAUAAGCACCCCUACUGCAAAUGAACUGUAUUAAAGCAAAGUGUCUGAGGAAGGUGGAGCGCUCUAAGAGGACAAAGACUGUUCUUAAAGUGAUCAGAGGCCACCUAGAGACAUUUGUGCUGUUCCCAUGUCAUGCUUCCCUGUGGAGAGUGUACAGAGUAAAGAACUGUUGGACAUAUUGGGGGGGUGGUGCUAGCAAUGCAGGUGGAGAAAUAAAAGAUGCAGCGUUGUUUGGGGGUAGAUAGGGGGCUGGUUGGGUCUUUGUGCAGAUAGACCUGUAGUUUUGGGGAUGCUGGAAGGUAGACGGAGCGUAUUGGAGAGGCCGCACCUAUGUGUAGUGACAAAUUGUGCCCUAUUGGCCUCAAAAUUAUACCACGAUAUGUGAAUAUUUUUUUCUAUAGUAUUUCUCACAUAGAGCCCUGUUACCGUAGUAUUAGGCUCAUACUGUUGUUAAAGGCUUUCCUCAUUUUCUGCGCCUGUCUAUUUUUAUGUUAUUCUGUUAGAAUAAAAGGGUGGUAUGUUAGGGGUUAAUGUUGACCUGACUAGCGCCAUCUUGUUCUUGGCAUCCAUCUUGUAAUGAUUAAUCUUUAUUAUAAUGGGUUAUUCUGUAGUGAGAAAUAUAUGCUUGUUAUUUUACUCUGCAAAGCUAGCUAACCUUGUAGAUAGGGAUGCACCGAAAUUUCGGCCGCAGAAAAUUUCGGCCGAAAAUAGCAUUUUUUGUUAUUUCGGUUUUUGGUUUUUUUGCCUUUUAUUUUCGGCAAAAUUAUUGUGUAGCAUAUUUUAAAUUUGAUGCCAGCCUAGAGCUGCUGUUUGAGUUCAUUACUUGACUUACUGUUUUGCAUAUAAUAAUAGUUUUCUAGGACUAUACUUUAUUUUGAUAAUUGGUAACAAAACAAAAACGGUUAAAUCUUAUUCUGUUACACAGAACUAAAUAAAGAAUAAUACUAGCGAUGCACCAAAAUUUGGGCCGCCGAAAAUGUGCAAUUCCAAUUUCGGCCCAAAGAGGACCAAAAUGGCUAAAAAUGUACAGCCCUCCCCUGUUCUAUUGAGUUACAUGUCUAUCCUUAGCAUAAGGUGAGCAGCACAGCACUGGCAUGGUACACAGAGCACACGCAUAAGUACCAUGACAUGAUGAUAUUUGAAACCAGCAGAGAAGGAAACCAAAGUUCUGAAUAGUGAAUACAAAUAUCAAAGGAGGAUAAGUAACAUGUUUAUAAACACUUGAUAUUAUCAGACAUAGCCCUAAGCACACAAAGUGAAUAUCUUUAAGCCUUAUAUACAGUGCUCAUACAUCAACCUCUUGUGCGUAGACAUUCUAUUCACCUGAGGCAAAUAUGCGUGCACACUUUAUAAGCAUAAGCCCCAAGCUCGCACACAGUUGGUACAAAUUAGCACCCACCAGACAGUGUAUACAAAAAAGCACAGUAACUUUCUAUAACCACCUUGCACGUAAGGUUGUAGCUAAGUCCAGUGGUCCUGGUGAUAGGUGACAGGCAGACUCCAUUUGGGGCUCCGGACAUAUAAUCUGACGGGUCAGUGUGAGACCCGCACCAGGAACUAGGCGGAGAUAUGAUGAGAGACGAUAAGGUGCAGCCACGCUCAUCGCACGGAUAACUACACCCAAAAACAAAACACAUGUCCACCUCUUAUUGUUGUCUGGCUAUAACCACGCUCUCUCUUAUAGAGCUAUAGUUUCACUGCAGAUUGCGCCCUACUGUACAAGUGACCAUGUCCAUUUGUUGGAGCUUUCCCGCCUACAAGCUCUCUCAGCUACACACACACACUGUAGUUAAAAAAGAAAAAAACUAUUUCGGUUUCGUUUCGGUUUUCGGCCAGGAUCAUCCUGAAUUUUCGGUAUCGGUUUCGGUCCAGAAUUUUCAUUUCGGUGCAUCCCUACUUGUAGAUGUCCCUGGCACUAGGCCCGGAGGGUACUAUCUCUAUAAGAUGUUCAAACGACCUUGUUGUUCUCUAAGAUGCACUGCUUAUUAUGACUAUAGAAUAUUGUUUAGAGCUAGUGAAUUUCCAGAACAACACUGUGUAUAACUGUGUAAAAUGACGCUGUCAUAACGUGUCAUCAAGUUAACCCUAUCUGCUGUUACUGUAGCCUAUAAGACAUGCAUUGUAUCUUUCAAUGAACAGAAAAGUUUUAGAUCA
Bombina bombina (fire-bellied toad) is the source of this 2413-nucleotide long non-coding RNA. RefSeq lists it as uncharacterized. The record is from RefSeq and is a predicted model, not a curated record. Lineage: Eukaryota; Metazoa; Chordata; Amphibia; Anura; Bombinatoridae. The transcript has 2 exons.